CUACCUUAAUCAGGGGGAUAGCCCGGAGAAAUCCGGAUUAACACCGCAUAAAAACACAGGAUAGCAUUAUCCAAUGUUCAAAUAUUAAUAGGAUUGAGAUGGGCAUGCGUGUCAUUAGCUAGUUGGCGGGGUAACGGCCCACCAAGGCGACGAUGACUAGGGGAUCUGAGAGGAUGACCCCCCACACUGGUACUGAGACACGGACCAGACUCCUACGGGAGGCAGCAGUAAGGAAUAUUGGUCAAUGGAGGCAACUCUGAACCAGCCAUGCCGCGUGCAGGAAGACUGCCCUAUGGGUUGUAAACUGCUUUUAUCCGGGAAUAAACCUCAAUACGAGUAUUGAGCUGAAUGUACCGGAAGAAUAAGGAUCGGCUAACUCCGUGCCAGCAGCCGCGGUAAUACGGAGGAUCCAAGCGUUAUCCGGAUUUAUUGGGUUUAAAGGGUGCGUAGGCGGCCUGUUAAGUCAGGGGUGAAAGACGGUAGCUCAACUAUCGCAGUGCCCUUGAUACUGAUGGGCUUGAAUGGACUAGAGGUAGGCGGAAUGAGACAAGUAGCGGUGAAAUGCAUAGAUAUGUCUCAGAACACCGAUUGCGAAGGCAGCUUACUAUGGUUUAAUUGACGCUGAGGCACGAAAGCGUGGGGAUCAAACAGGAUUAGAUACCCUGGUAGUCCACGCCCUAAACGAUGAACACUCGCUGUUGGCGAUACACAGUCAGCGGCUAAGCGAAAGCGUUAAGUGUUCCACCUGGGGAGUACGGUCGCAAGAUUGAAACUCAAAGGAAUUGACGGGGGCCCGCACAAGCGGAGGAGCAUGUGGUUUAAUUCGAUGAUACGCGAGGAACCUUACCCGGGCUUGAAAGUUAGUGAAUGAUUUAGAGAUAGAUCAGUCCGCAAGGACACGAAACUAGGUGCUGCAUGGCUGUCGUCAGCUCGUGCCGUGAGGUGUUGGGUUAAGUCCCGCAACGAGCGCAACCCCUAUGUUUAGUUGCCAGCAUGUAAUGGUGGGGACUCUAAACAGACUGCCUGUGC
This 1029-nucleotide ribosomal RNA is filed under the name Pedobacter terrae. RNAcentral's name for it is "bacterial SSU rRNA". It matches the Rfam family "Bacterial small subunit ribosomal RNA", at positions 126 to 1158 of the family's 1533-position model. The record is from RNAcentral. Lineage: Bacteria; Pseudomonadati; Bacteroidota; Sphingobacteriia; Sphingobacteriales; Sphingobacteriaceae.